Long non-coding RNA from Vidua chalybeata, 863 nucleotides. RefSeq lists it as uncharacterized. The record is from RefSeq and is a predicted model, not a curated record. Lineage: Eukaryota; Metazoa; Chordata; Aves; Passeriformes; Viduidae. The transcript is spliced from 4 exons.
CGGAGCAGGAAUGCUUGGUGGCACGUCACCCUGGAGCUCUCGGAGCCUGGCAGUGUGCCGGGACGGCCCGUCCGUCUUCCUGAAAUGUUCCCAGGGCAUCGAGCGAUGGAGAGCCAGGCAGCAGUUGUAAGAGGAGAGUACAAAAGUUUUUUUCUGAAAGCUGCCAUUGAAUUUGCAUGGAUUUGGAAGUUAAAGGAGUUGCUGCAUCCCCUCGAAGGAAGACUGAGUUGUCAUUGAGGGGGAAGAAAUGUCAGGGCUGGAGACCAAAUAGACAGGCUACACACAGUCCUCACCCACCAGAGAUGGAGACUCUUGCAUAGCAUACACUAGAAGUUCUUCUCAUAGAUGCCAACUAGAUUCAUCUUCAGAGUGGAGAACGCCAUUACAGACUCCAUAUGCACAGCAUCAACAUAUCAGGCUGUCACUACAAAUAUCUUUAUAAUAUACCCCUUUAGCAGUAAUUUAGAGAAGCAUGCAUAUGUUUUUAUGUGAGUUCUUUUUUUUUUUUUUCCUUUUGGUUAAGCUCGUAUCUCCAAGUGCUGUUGGUCUGAAAUAUUUAUAGCAAAGUCCUUUUACUGAGAUUCUUUAGCACAUUUAGAAAAAAUCAUUUUAUUACAUAGCUUAGUUCUUUGUUGAUUGAUGCACUUACCCUUUUGUUGUACUUCUUUUUAAGAGCUGUAUUAAUAGUAGAAAUGACAAAGAUUAGUAGUAGUAAGUGUGUGAUUGAAGACAAAAAUCUGUGUUUACAAACACUAAGCAUUAUUUCUAUGGAACAGUAGUUACUUCUGGUGAAAGGAAAACUUCUGGAAUUACUUGCAACCAUUUAAUGUGUUUUUUCUUACGGCUGUUGUCUUUAAAACAGA